RNAcentral lists this ribosomal RNA (1486 nucleotides) under uncultured bacterium. RNAcentral's name for it is "16S ribosomal RNA". It matches the Rfam family "Bacterial small subunit ribosomal RNA". The record is from RNAcentral.
UGGCUCAGAUUGAACGCUGGCGGCAGGCCUAACACAUGCAAGUCGAACGGUAACAGGAAGCAGCUUGCUGCUUUGCUGACGAGUGGCGGACGGGUGAGUAAUGUCUGGGAAACUGCCUGAUGGAGGGGGAUAACUACUGGAAACGGUGGCUAAUACCGCAUAACGUCGCAAGACCAAAGAGGGGGACCUUCGGGCCUCUUGCCAUCAGAUGUGCCCAGAUGGGAUUAGCUUGUUGGUGAGGUAACGGCUCACCAAGGCGACGAUCCCUAGCUGGUCUGAGAGGAUGACCAGCCACACUGGAACUGAGACACGGUCCAGACUCCUACGGGAGGCAGCAGUGGGGAAUAUUGCACAAUGGGCGCAAGCCUGAUGCAGCCAUGCCGCGUGUAUGAAGAAGGCCUUCGGGUUGUAAAGUACUUUCAGCGGGGAGGAAGGUGUUGCGGUUAAUAACCGCAGCAAUUGACGUUACCCGCAGAAGAAGCACCGGCUAACUCCGUGCCAGCAGCCGCGGUAAUACGGAGGGUGCAAGCGUUAAUCGGAAUUACUGGGCGUAAAGCGCACGCAGGCGGUCUGUCAAGUCGGAUGUGAAAUCCCCGGGCUCAACCUGGGAACUGCAUUCGAAACUGGCAGGCUUGAGUCUUGUAGAGGGGGGUAGAAUUCCAGGUGUAGCGGUGAAAUGCGUAGAGAUCUGGAGGAAUACCGGUGGCGAAGGCGGCCCCCUGGACAAAGACUGACGCUCAGGUGCGAAAGCGUGGGGAGCAAACAGGAUUAGAUACCCUGGUAGUCCACGCCGUAAACGAUGUCUACUUGGAGGUUGUGCCCUUGAGGCGUGGCUUCCGGAGCUAACGCGUUAAGUAGACCGCCUGGGGAGUACGGCCGCAAGGUUAAAACUCAAAUGAAUUGACGGGGGCCCGCACAAGCGGUGGAGCAUGUGGUUUAAUUCGAUGCAACGCGAAGAACCUUACCUGGUCUUGACAUCCACAGAAGAAUCCAGAGAUGGAUUUGUGCCUUCGGGAACUGUGAGACAGGUGCUGCAUGGCUGUCGUCAGCUCGUGUUGUGAAAUGUUGGGUUAAGUCCCGCAACGAGCGCAACCCUUAUCCUUUGUUGCCAGCGAUUAGGUCGGGAACUCAAAGGAGACUGCCAGUGAUAAACUGGAGGAAGGUGGGGAUGACGUCAAGUCAUCAUGGCCCUUACGACCAGGGCUACACACGUGCUACAAUGGCGCAUACAAAGAGAAGCGACCUCGCGAGAGCAAGCGGACCUCAUAAAGUGCGUCGUAGUCCGGAUUGGAGUCUGCAACUCGACUCCAUGAAGUCGGAAUCGCUAGUAAUCGUGGAUCAGAAUGCCACGGUGAAUACGUUCCCGGGCCUUGUACACACCGCCCGUCACACCAUGGGAGUGGGUUGCAAAAGAAGUAGGUAGCUUAACCUUCGGGAGGGCGCUUACCACUUUGUGAUUCAUGACUGGGGUGAAGUCGUAACAAGG